UACGGGGGGGGCAAGCGUUGUUCGGAAUUACUGGGCGUAAAGGGCUCGUAGGCGGCCAACUAAGUCAGACGUGAAAUCCCUCGGCUUAACCGGGGAACUGCGUCUGAUACUGGAUGGCUUGAGGUUGGGAGAGGGAUGCGGAAUUCCAGGUGUAGCGGUGAAAUGCGUAGAUAUCUGGAGGAACACCGGUGGCGAAGGCGGCGUUCUGGACUGCAACUGACACUGAUAGACGAAAGCCAGGGGAGCAAACGGG
Molecule: ribosomal RNA, 253 nt
Filed under: uncultured bacterium
Lineage: Bacteria
Description: partial 16S ribosomal RNA
Rfam family: Bacterial small subunit ribosomal RNA
Source: RNAcentral